GAUGAACGCUAGCGACAGGCCUAACACAUGCAAGUCGAGGGGCAGCACAUGAGUAGCAAUACGAUGGUGGCGACCGGCGCACGGGUGAGUAACACGUAUGCAACCUACCUGUAAGAGGGGAAUAACCCGGAGAAAUUCGGACUAACACCGCAUAAUACCUCGAAGCUGCAUGGCUUUGAGGUUAAAUAUUUAUAGCUUACAGAUGGGCAUGCGUAACAUUAGAUAGUUGGUGAGGUAACGGCUCACCAAGUCAACGAUGUUUAGGGGUUCUGAGAGGAAGGUCCCCCACACUGGUACUGAGACACGGACCAGACUCCUACGGGAGGCAGCAGUGAGGAAUAUUGGUCAAUGGACAGAAGUCUGAACCAGCCAAGUCGCGUGAAGGAAGAAGGUCUUACGGAUUGUAAACUUCUUUAGCAGGGGAAUAAAAGACGAUACGAGUUAUCGUGUUGAAAGUACUUUGACGAAAAGGUACGGCUAACUCCGUGCCAGCAGCCGCGGUAA
RNAcentral lists this ribosomal RNA (504 nucleotides) under uncultured bacterium. RNAcentral describes it as "bacterial SSU rRNA". It matches the Rfam family "Bacterial small subunit ribosomal RNA", at positions 28 to 523 of the family's 1533-position model. The record is from RNAcentral.